RNAcentral lists this ribosomal RNA (253 nucleotides) under uncultured bacterium. RNAcentral's name for it is "partial 16S ribosomal RNA". It matches the Rfam family "Bacterial small subunit ribosomal RNA", at positions 524 to 776 of the family's 1533-position model. The record is from RNAcentral.
UACGAAGGGUGCAACCGUUGCUCGGAAUUAUUGGGCGUAAAGCGCACGUAGGCGGCUUUUCAAGUCGGAUGUGAAAUCCCUCGGCUUAACCAAGGAAGUGCAUCCGAAACUGGAGAGCUUGAGUACUUAAGAGGAUCGCGGAAUUCCCGGUGUAGAGGUGAAAUUCGUAGAUAUCGGGAGGAACACCAGUGGCGAAGGCCGCGAUCUGGGAAGAUACUGACGCUGAGGUGCGAAAGCGUGGGGAGCAAACAGG